This is a non-coding RNA of Gossypium hirsutum (cotton), 144 nucleotides long. NCBI's taxonomy places the organism in Eukaryota, Viridiplantae, Streptophyta, Magnoliopsida, Malvales, Malvaceae. The record is from Rfam.
UAUUAAAAAUUUCAUCCGAUUUUGCUGUUAAAAUUUAGUGUGGUUGAUAGAAUAACCAGAAGUGACACGUUGCAUGCCACAUAUACCUCAUACUGACAUACAAAGACCAAUUUUUAUAAGCAAAAAUGAAUGAAAUUUUUAAUU